This 790-nucleotide long non-coding RNA is filed under the name Zonotrichia albicollis (white-throated sparrow). Its description in RNAcentral is "lncRNA (ENSZALG00000017809.1)". Lineage: Eukaryota; Metazoa; Chordata; Aves; Passeriformes; Passerellidae. The record is from RNAcentral.
UAUGAUGAAUUAUCCUUCUUUCUCUCCUCCUAGAAUAUCCAAUUGCCCGUUUCCAUUUUUGUUUUGGAGAGAUUUAUUAUUCAGGAUUUUUUUCACUGGAUAGCUUAUUAAACAUUUCCUGCUCUUUUUCUCAUCGUACAUAACACGCAUCUUGUUUCCUGGUAGUACCUAUCCAUCCGCUCUAACGGGGCCUCCCAGCGUGAGGAAACUGUGAGGAGUGCAGUUCUUACCCAGGCAGUUUACAGCCCUCCUUGGGAUCCAAUUAGAGAUGUUCAAAAUUUGGGAUAUUUAUUUGCUCACUGGAAUCAAAGCUGUAUCAGCCCCCAAGGAAGCGAUGCAUGGCUGCAGACAGAGGUUGGGACUGCGUGGGGAUGAAUAAUUUGGUUCAUCGGUUCCCUGGAAGCCUCUCAGAGGGUGGGAGGAGAACGUGAGUGCCCAGAGAGAAAUCAUUUGGAGAUUUGCUGCUCUUUCUGCCUCUUCAGUUUCUCAGUUUUGACCCAAAGACAUAAGGAACAGCAUUUCACACGUGAGGACUUCUUGCCUUGGGUGUUGUACGUGACCAUGCCUGUUCUUUCAGCUUCUCCCAUUUUUGGAUGAUCGAAUCUCUGCGCCUUCUGCAUCAGAAGAGGAGCACAUGUAGUUUGCUGAGAUUUUCUCAUUGAGGUGCUGCCGUUGGAAGCAGACGAUCGUCUAGGAAGGGAAGAAGUCGGGAUGCUGUGUAUUACCAGGUAUUUUUUGGUUCUCCUUAAACAUGAAUAAAUUUAUCCUAAACUUUGUCUUUCUCCCUUCC